AGAACUCAAGAUUUCUCUAUUCCACGCAAGCUCUGUUGGGUAGCCUCGAUUCCAUGGCGAGUGACACGAACCGGAAGGGAGUUUGUCAUAUCCGUAUUCUUGCAGGGCGUCGUUCUGUUGUGAACCAUGGUUCGAGUACUUAGUGGACUAUCCAGCCGGCUGGCCGAUACCCCUUGGAUAAUUUCGUCAUCUCUUCUUUUAUAAUUCUACCGCGAAUAAGAGAUACUCAGAAAUACAUAAA
Nematostella vectensis (starlet sea anemone) is the source of this 241-nucleotide long non-coding RNA. RefSeq lists it as uncharacterized. The record is from RefSeq and is a predicted model, not a curated record. NCBI's taxonomy places the organism in Eukaryota, Metazoa, Cnidaria, Anthozoa, Actiniaria, Edwardsiidae. The transcript is spliced from 2 exons.